GCUUACGGCCAUACUAACCUGGCUAUGCCCGAUCUCGUCUGCUCUCGGAAGCUAAGCAGGUUUGGGCCUGGUUAGUACUUGGAUGGGAGACCGCCUGGCAAUACCAGGUGCUGUAAGCU
Molecule: ribosomal RNA, 119 nt
Filed under: Carassius auratus (goldfish)
Lineage: Eukaryota; Metazoa; Chordata; Actinopteri; Cypriniformes; Cyprinidae
Source: RNAcentral